Molecule: non-coding RNA, 30 nt
Filed under: Mus musculus (house mouse)
Lineage: Eukaryota; Metazoa; Chordata; Mammalia; Rodentia; Muridae
Source: RNAcentral
UGGCUGUCCUCUGGUGAUCACGUAUAUCGU